CGCACGUUCCACAUUAGUCAUUGGUAUCUUCUUGGGAAGAGCAAACUCUGGCACACUUUGGCCAAUUGUAAUUUUUGUUGUAUUUCUUACGGUUCGCAAACAGCGACAAAAAUUGCGAAUACAGUCAAGUCCGUCUAUAACGAACCCGUUUAUAGCGAACUCCCGGCUAUAACGAACUUUUUUGAGGAUUUGUACUUUGGCCAUCGAAUUUGCGUCUUUUCUUAUAUUGCGAACCUUGGAUAUAGCGAACCUGUUUCUAAGACAAGUAAGGGUUCGUUAUAGCCGGACUUGACUGUAAGUAAAAAUUGGGAUGACCGGAAAUGUGUGAAAAGUGAAAAUGCAAUUUUACGGCUAUUUAUUGUGCGCUCUUAUUUUUUUUUCUCUAAUUAAUAAUAAUCAUAAUGUCUUGGGCAGUUACAUAUGAAACAACUGAUGAAACAACAACAAAAAAGUGAGGAAAAAAAAUACACAAAAUUAUAGUAAAAAAAACUAAACAAACUAUAGCAGACUGAAUAACAUGGUUUAUUCCAGUCCGAACUUCGCCCCAUUAAGUCACCCCUUAUGUCAGGGGUGCUCACAAUCUUGAACUGCUGACGAUCUACCUCAAUGUUGUUAGACUCUAAUCGAUCGACUCUAAGAGACUGCAAGUAUAUGAUAUAUGAAAAUACUGUACAUAGAAUUAGUUAAUUAGUGGAAACGGUAGAAUUUAGUUUUCCCCAAAAUCCAUUUUCUUUAAAUCAAGGUAGGUGUAGGUCUGCUCUGAAAAUCGCAAAUAAUUCUCGAGAUCGACGUUUGAGGACCACUGCAUUAUGUAAUGUAAUGUACUAUCUGUUCUUUGUAUAAUCUGUACUCAAUAAAUGUCAUUAUUAUUAUUACCAUAUCUAAAUGUCCAAAGGACCAAGAUCACAAAUAAAGAAAUAUUUUUUCGUGUUCUUCUAGUUAACCAAGAAAUUGAAUUAAACAUGUGAACUGUAUGCAUGACCUCAAAAUUGCAAUGUACCAUUCUUUUUCAAAGUGUAUCUGUAUCUCAAGAUGGGAGGGAAGUCUGAAAAAUUUUAAGGUUAGUAUACCCCUAACAGUUAUGUAUUCCAGAAGUAUCGAUCCCACAAGUUUAAUAUCUUUUUCUCUAGGUGGCGAAAUGCACUUUUUUCUUUUGAAAUUACUUAUCCAGGUUUAUAAUUAUUAUUUUUGUGUCUGCGGUUUAAUAAUAAUCCCUUAUUUGCUCAACAGAAAGACAUAACCUUUCCAAUUUCAGAGCAAAAACAACAUUUUACAACCUGCCAGAGUACAAUAGAGUUCAAUAUAAACCAAAAA
Long non-coding RNA from Photinus pyralis (common eastern firefly), 1314 nucleotides. RefSeq lists it as uncharacterized. The record is from RefSeq and is a predicted model, not a curated record. The transcript has 2 exons. Lineage: Eukaryota; Metazoa; Arthropoda; Insecta; Coleoptera; Lampyridae.